AACGAACGCUGGCGGCAUGCCUAACACAUGCAAGUCGAACGAGCCCUUCGGGUCUAGUGGCGCACGGGUGCGUAACGCGUGGGCACCUGCCCUUAGGUUCGGAAUAACUCCCCGAAAGGGGUUCUAAUACCGGAUAAUGUCUUCGGACCAAAGAUUUAUCGCCUUUGGAUGGGCCCGCGUUGGAUUAGCUAGUUGGUAGGGUAAAAGCCUACCAAGGCGACGAUCCAUAGCUGGUCUGAGAGGAUGAUCAGCCACACUGGGACUGAGACACGGCCCAGACUCCUACGGGAGGCAGCAGUGGGGAAUAUUGGACAAUGGGCGAAAGCCUGAUCCAGCAAUGCCGCGUGAGUGGUGAAGGCCUUAGGGUUGUAAAGCUCUUUUACCCGGGAUGAUAAUGACAGUACCGGGAGAAGAAGCUCCGGCUAACUCCGUG
Molecule: ribosomal RNA, 433 nt
Filed under: uncultured bacterium
Lineage: Bacteria
Description: partial 16S ribosomal RNA
Rfam family: Bacterial small subunit ribosomal RNA
Source: RNAcentral